AAUCCAAAAUUAGAAAGUCUAUAUAGGACAAGAGAAAAUAUUGUCAUCCCACAAUAUAGGUCAAUACAAAAAUCUGAACCAGAAAUAACUGACUCAGAAAUGGAUUUUCAAGUCUUAACUCUUACAGAAGAAAAACGACUUAGUAAACAAUUUAUAGAACAAGAUUACUUAUCUGAAGAAAAUAAGGAAAUAAGAACUUGGUAUAAAAAACAUUGUCAACCUAGAUUAGUAGAAUUAUUUCAUAUAAAGUACAAUAAGGCACGAAAAAGAUAAAGGUAUAAUAAAGGAUUUUUUGUAUGGUUAAAAGAAAUAUGUAGAAAAAGAAAAAUACAUAUUCCUAAUUUUGAAAUAAAUACAAUACAAAGUCAAUAUACUUCAUAUGAAACAACCGAUGGAAAUACAAUGACAAGUAUUCACCCUCCUGAGAAAAGUGUUGUUAUAAAAGGAUCAAAACCAGAACCUGAGAAAAGUGUUGUUAUAAAAGGAUCAAAACCAGAAUUAAAAUUAGAAACAAAAGCUACACCAUAUAAAAUGACUACAGGAGAAAUAGUACAUAAAGCUGAAUUAAUUCCACAUGUAAUAGAACAAAAUAACUAUACAAAUUUAUAUAUGCAAUCUUUAGAAAGACAAGCAUCUAGAAUUGAAAAUAUGUUAAGACCUAUACCUAUAAAAGAAACCAAAAAUGUUUUAUUCAAACGACCUCCAUCACUUGAUAAAGAAAGAUUUAAUUUUGGAGAAGAUAAUAAGACCCUAAUGGACCAAUUGAUAUCAAAAUUAUCUAAAUUAGAAAUUCAAGAGAAAACUCUAAAAAUUCAGGAGAAAGGAAAAGAGAAAAUUACUACAGAAAUUCUUGAAUCAUCUACAUUAACUUUACAAGAAGAGACACCAAUAAUUGCUGACACAAUAGAGAAUAUGGAAGAAGCUUUUACAAAAAAUAGUCCUAGACCAGAUAGUAAUAAUAUUCAAAGAAUAGUAUAUGGAAAAUCAUGGAAACCUUUAACGGCUAGGCCCUAUCAUCAUAGAUCUACCCCUGUUGAUAUACAAUUCGAAGAAGAUUUGGUAGCCCAGAAUAUUUCCUAUUCAGGAAGAUCAAUAGUAAAUUGGAAUAUAGAUGGAUUAUCUAAACAACAAAUAUUAGACACUAUGAAACGUAUGACCAUGUAUGCCUCUGCAUGCAAAAUGGUAGGCAACCAUGAUCAAGAGGUCGCCAAAGCCAUUGUCUGUGGUUUCACAGGAUGGCUUCGAGGUUGGUGGGAUUUCCACUUACCUGAAGUACAAAACAACAAAUUUUAUAUAAUACUUGCCAAUGGACUGUUAAAAAUGAAAAUAAUCAAGACGUUCUAUAUUCCGAAAGUGAUGCUGUUAAUACUCUCAUUUACACCAUCACACUUCAUUUUGUGGGGAGUACACCCUUACUUGAAGCCAGAUCUGAAGAUUUGUUAUCUAAUUUAAGAUGUCCAACCCUAUCUCAUUAUAAAUGGUACAAAGAUGUUUUCUUUUCCAGACUAUUAAGUAGAGAGGAUAGCCAGCAGGACCAUUGGAAAGAAAAAUUUAUUGCUGGAUUACCAUAUUUAUUUGCAGAAAAGGUAAAAACUCGAUUAAAAAAUAAAAAUGGAGGAAUAAUACCAUAUUCUGUUUAUACAUUAG
RNAcentral lists this long non-coding RNA (1647 nucleotides) under Amborella trichopoda. Its description in RNAcentral is "long non-coding RNA (ATRI_LNC003250)". The record is from RNAcentral. Lineage: Eukaryota; Viridiplantae; Streptophyta; Magnoliopsida; Amborellales; Amborellaceae.